Molecule: ribosomal RNA, 609 nt
Filed under: uncultured Alphaproteobacteria bacterium
Lineage: Bacteria; Pseudomonadati; Pseudomonadota; Alphaproteobacteria
Description: bacterial SSU rRNA
Rfam family: Bacterial small subunit ribosomal RNA
Source: RNAcentral
AGAGUUUGAUCCUGGCUCAGAACGAACGCUGGCGGCAGGCCUAACACAUGCAAGUCGAACGAACCUUUUAGGUGAGUGGCGCACGGGUGCGUAACGCGUGGGAAUAUGCCCUUAGGUGAGGAAUAACGUAGAGAAAUUUGCGCUAAUACCUCAUAAUGACUCCGGUCCAAAGAUUUAUCGCCUAAGGAUUAGCCCGCGUCAGAUUAGAUAGUUGGUGAGGUAACGGCUCACCAAGUCGACGAUCUGUAGGGGGUCUGAGAGGAUGAUCCCCCACACUGGUACUGAGACACGGACCAGACUCCUACGGGAGGCAGCAGUGAGGAAUAUUGGACAAUGGAGGAAACUCUGAUCCAGCCAUGCCGCGUGAGUGAAGAAGGCCUUAGGGUUGUAAAGCUCUUUCAAUUGCGAAGAUAAUGACGGUAACAAUAGAAGAAGCUCCGGCUAAAUUCGUGCCAGCAGCCGCGGUAAUACGAAUGGAGCAAGCGUUGUUCGGAAUCACUGGGCUUAAAGCGUAUGUAGGCGGACUGUAAAGUCAGGAGUGAAAUCCCGAGGCUCAACCUCGGAACUGCUCUUUGAAACUCACAGUCUAGAAUCCUGGAGAGGUUAGGA